Molecule: ribosomal RNA, 323 nt
Filed under: uncultured prokaryote
Description: bacterial SSU rRNA
Rfam family: Bacterial small subunit ribosomal RNA
Source: RNAcentral
AGAACGAACGCUGGCGGCGUGCUUAACACAUGCAGGUCCAACGUGAAAGGGGAGCAAUCCCCCGGUAGGGUGGCGAACGGGUGAGUAAUACAUGGGAAUCUGUCCUGGAGAUGGGGAUAUCCUUCCGAAAGGAGGGUUAAUACCGCAUAAGUCCUACGGGGGAAAGCGGGGGAUCGAGAGACCUCGCGCCGGUGGAUGAGCCGAAGCCGGAUUAGCUAGUUGGUAGGGUAAUGGCCUACCAAGGCGACGAUCCGUAGCUGGUCUGAGAGGACGACCAGCCACACUGGGACUGAGACACGGCCCAGACUCCUACGGGAGGCAGC